Hypanus sabinus (Atlantic stingray) is the source of this 604-nucleotide long non-coding RNA. RefSeq lists it as uncharacterized. The transcript is spliced from 2 exons. The record is from RefSeq and is a predicted model, not a curated record. Lineage: Eukaryota; Metazoa; Chordata; Chondrichthyes; Myliobatiformes; Dasyatidae.
GGAAAGCGAGGGGAGCCAGCAGCGAAGGAUGUCAAGCAAUUACAUGGAAGAAGAGGGUGACACUCUUGACAGAGGGAGACAGACAAUGGUGCUCGGGUCUUCUCCCGUGGUGCCAUAAGCAACUGAUUCACUUCUUCUCUUGGAGGGAGAGCAUCCUAACCAGCAGCGUGUCUGCCUGCUACGGAAAUUGCACUGCGGCCUGCAGGAAGGCUCCACAACAGGUCAUCAAAACUGCCCAAUGCAUCAUCAGCACCAGCCUACCCACCGUCAAGGACAAAUAUACAGAAAAGGUGCCGGAAAAGGGCCAGUAACAUCACCAAGGAUCCAACCCACCCUGCUCACAGACUGUUUGUCCCACUCCCAUCAGGGAAAAGGCUACAUAGCAUCCACACCAGGAGCAUCAGACUCAAAAUCAGUAACUUUCCCCAAUCAGAAAGACUGAUCAACACCUCCACCCACCAACCACCACUACUUUAUCAUCUCCUGAUUAUUAUUGUGUUCUUUAUUGUCUUUCGUUUGUGCUGCAUUAGAUCCAGAGUAACAAUUAUUUCAUUCUCUUUUACACUUGUGUACAGGAAAUAACAUUAAACAAUCUUGAAUCGUG